AUCCUUCGGUUCGUAAGCAUGAUGACUGGGGGGUCCUGCUCUUGUGUGAGAUGUGCCUCCCUCUAAACCUUGUUAUGACAUCAGCACAUUACCCAUCUGAUG
This is a non-coding RNA of Ictidomys tridecemlineatus (thirteen-lined ground squirrel), 102 nucleotides long. The record is from Rfam. Lineage: Eukaryota; Metazoa; Chordata; Mammalia; Rodentia; Sciuridae.